UACGGAGGGUGCAAGCGUUAUCCGGAUUCAUUGGGUUUAAAGGGAGCGUAGGUGGCCCAGUAAGUCAGUGGUGAAAUCUCCUCGCUUAACGAGGAAAUUGCCAUUGAUACUGCAGGGCUUGAGUACAGUUGCCGUUGGCGGAAUAUGACAUGUAGUGGUGAAAUACUUAGAUAUGUCAUAGAACACCGAUUGCGAAGGCAGCUGACGAAACUGUAACUGACACUGAGGCUCGAAAGUGUGGGGAUCAAACAGG
Molecule: ribosomal RNA, 253 nt
Filed under: uncultured bacterium
Lineage: Bacteria
Description: partial 16S ribosomal RNA
Rfam family: Bacterial small subunit ribosomal RNA
Source: RNAcentral